GACGAACGCUGGCGGCGUGCUUAACACAUGCAAGUCGAACGGAAAGGCCCUGCUUUUGUGGGGUGCUCGAGUGGCGAACGGGUGAGUAACACGUGAGUAACCUGCCCUUGACUUUGGGAUAACUUCAGGAAACUGGGGCUAAUACCGGAUAGGAGCUCCUGCUGCAUGGUGGGGGUUGGAAAGUUUCGGCGGUUGGGGAUGGACUCGCGGCUUGUCAGCUUGUUGGUGGGGUAGUGGCUUACCAAGGCUUUGACGGGUGGCCGGCCUGAGAGGGUGACCGGCCACAUUGGGACUGAGAUACGGCCCAGACUCCUACGGGAGGCAGCAGUGGGGAAUAUUGCACAAUGGGCGGAAGCCUGAUGCAGCAACGCCGCGUGCGGGAUGACGGCCUUCGGGUUGUAAACCGCUUUCGCCUGUGACGAAGCGUGAGUGACGGUAAUGGGUAAAGAAGCACCGGCUAACUACGUG
Molecule: ribosomal RNA, 468 nt
Filed under: uncultured bacterium
Lineage: Bacteria
Description: partial 16S ribosomal RNA
Rfam family: Bacterial small subunit ribosomal RNA
Source: RNAcentral